CCUACGGGUGGCAGCAGUGGGGAAUAUUGCACAAUGGGGGAAACCCUGAUGCAGCGACGCCGCGUGAGUGAAGAAGUAUUUCGGUAUGUAAAGUUCUAUCAGCAGGGAAGAAAAUGACGGUACCUGAUUAGGAAGCCCCGGCUAACUACGUGCCAGCAGCCGCGGUAAUACGUAGGGGGAAAGCGUUAUCCGGCUUUACUGGGUGUAAAGGGAGCGUAGACGGCAGAACAAGUAGGAAGUGAAAUGCCGGGGCUUAACCCCUGGACUGCUUUUGAAACUGUGCAGCUAGAGUACUGGAGAGGUAAAUGGAAUUCCUAGUGUAGCGGUGAAAUGCGUAGAUAUUAGGAGGAACACCAGUGGCGAAGGCGGCUUACUGGACAGUAACUGACGUUGAGGCGCGAAAGCGUGGGGAGCAAACAGGAUUAGAUACCCCUGUAGUC
RNAcentral lists this ribosomal RNA (440 nucleotides) under uncultured bacterium. RNAcentral's name for it is "partial 16S ribosomal RNA". It matches the Rfam family "Bacterial small subunit ribosomal RNA", at positions 338 to 795 of the family's 1533-position model. The record is from RNAcentral.